UACGACGAAGAACAGCAUACUUCGUGGGAUACAUUUUUAUUCCAAUAGUCACGAAAUAAUAUGCAAUGUGACGGCGACAAGAGAUUUAUUGGCAAACAGCGUCGUGGACAUUCUAUAUUUGAAUACGCGGUGAAGGACAAGGGUGACCAUUAAAACCGUCAUUCGAAUAACUUGGCAUCACCAGUCCGCAGAUUCCAAUAUACGAAAUGAUUAUUGGACAGUUGAAAAAUUCCCCAUCUGGUAACUGGAAUUAGUGAGGCUCUUAUUGUUGGAUAUACUCUGGGAUCGUCUCCACCCGAUACUUGACUUUUCACCCAGCUUUAACCGAACUGGAUAAAGCCGGUUUCUCGGGACUCAGGAUACAUUUUCUGCAUACAUACGCAUACGCGCAUUUUGGAAAAUGUUUAAAAAAAUCAUUGUGAGAGUAACGAAACGUGCUGCCACGGUCAAUAAAAAAAUUUUCGAAGCUAUGUGACCACAAUGACAAAUAAAAUAAGCACUCCGCUUUACGAUCGUGUAUGAAAAGGAGAUACGCACUUUGACUUUUUUUUGCAAAACCGAGAUCGUCGCAUCAACGUAGCUUAUCAAUUAAUAUAGUUGGUAUCUAACCCGCAUAGCGUACAGAAAUCCGUGAU
This 635-nucleotide long non-coding RNA is filed under the name Neodiprion lecontei (redheaded pine sawfly). RNAcentral's name for it is "uncharacterized LOC124293380". Lineage: Eukaryota; Metazoa; Arthropoda; Insecta; Hymenoptera; Diprionidae. The record is from RNAcentral.